Molecule: ribosomal RNA, 253 nt
Filed under: uncultured bacterium
Lineage: Bacteria
Description: partial 16S ribosomal RNA
Rfam family: Bacterial small subunit ribosomal RNA
Source: RNAcentral
GACAGAGGGUGCAAACGUUGUUCGGAAUUACUGGGCGUAAAGCGUGUGUAGGUGGCCGCGCAAGUCGGAUGUGAGAGCCCUGGGCUCAACUCAGGAAGUGCACCCGAUACUGCGUGGCUCGAGUACCGGAGAGGUUGGUGGAAUUCUCGGUGUAGAGGUGAAAUUCGUAGAUAUCGAGAGGAACACCUGUGGCGAAGGCGGCUCUCUGGGCCUUUCCUGACGCUGAGACGCGAAAGCGUGGGGAGCGAACCGG